Long non-coding RNA from Zingiber officinale, 2087 nucleotides. RefSeq lists it as uncharacterized. The record is from RefSeq and is a predicted model, not a curated record. NCBI's taxonomy places the organism in Eukaryota, Viridiplantae, Streptophyta, Magnoliopsida, Zingiberales, Zingiberaceae. The transcript is spliced from 7 exons.
CUUGGCCGACUGCCAGCGCUCGGAAGAGGAGAAGGGGGAUCGGCCGGGCUAGGGCAGAAGAAGCCGCGGCCCUAGGGCACACAAGGAAGGCCGGCGGCACUUUCGUGCAGCGUCGGCACUAUGCAGAGUGGAGGAGAAGCGGCUCUCGUCGCCGGCUGCAAAGGGGAGAGUGCGUGCACGCGAGAGAGAUGAGGAGAAGAUCGGGUUUGGGAGAGGAAAUCGGCGUGAGGAAGAAGGAGAAAAGGAACGGGCGGAGAAGGGAGUUAGGGCUUCUGUGCCGCGGGGAAAAAUCGGGAGGAGAAAGAAAAUAAAGAGAAAAAGAAAAAGGAAAAGAAUUUCUCGUUUAAAUGGGGUAGCCUAAACAUGCUUUCCCGGGGCCCGAUUUUACCCCCGUAAACUUGUCCAUACGGUCUCCGAAAAAUUCCAGAAAAAUUUCUAAAAAUUCCAGAAAAUUCUCUUAUCAUUAUUCGCCAUUUUUUCUGUAUUUUACAACACGACAGGAAGGGGUGCCACCUUUGCUGGAUCUUCUUCCACGACGGUGUGCUCUUCUCUCGUUUCCUGGUGAGCGGGUUUCUGACCUUCCACUGUUGCUUCUUUGGCUUGAAUCCGGACUCAGAUCUGAAAGCGAAGCAGCGGAGUGUGGCACUACCAAAGAUCUACUUAACAAAGACUACACUAACGACCAGAAGCUGACCAUCUCCACCUAUAGUGACUCCGGAUUGAUUUUUUCGUGAAGAAUAAUAUUGGUUAGAUCUGCAAGAUCGAAGGAUUGAUUAGCCCUGUUUAAGUGGGCCGAGAAGAUGGGGAAGCUCUUCUGGAGCUUAAGCUGGGUUUCAACGACUCCAAGCAGCUGUUGUGGAGCUAGCGGCCUAGUGCUUACCGAUUCCCACCCUUGCUCAUCCUGGCUCAACGUCUCCUGCCAGCCUUCCGACUUCACCGUCCGGUCAAUUGACUUUCCUUAUAUGUAGCUCGGUGGCAUCAUCUCCAUGAGAAUUGGCCAGAUUCCGAGGCUUCAAAUAUUGGUUUUGCACCAAAACAGCUUGCACAGUCCUAUUCCAAUUGUGAUAAAGAACUGCACUGAGCUAAGAGCAUUGUGUCACAUUACUUAUUUUUCAAGGUAUCUGAGAGCUAAUUACCUUCAAGGGAACAUUCCACCCAAGAUUAGAGAACUUGUGCACCUUACCAUCUUGUAGUUUUUACAUUCCCUUGUUUUCUUUUGUUAUAUAGUUGUUUCUUUAAUCAGUUUUCUUGAGCUUGAUGUAAAAAAAUAUAGAGACUUGUCAAGCAAUUUGCUCAGGGGCACAAUUCCUCCAUCUAUUAGCUCUCUGAACCAAUUACGAUUUCUGUGAGUCUUCAUGUGAUUAUUGGUGGCUAGGCAGUUUGUUGUUGCAGAGUUAACUGUUUGACUAUGAUUUUUUUAACAACUGUAGAAAUUUAUCAACAAAUUUCUUGUCUGGUGAGAUUCCAACUGUUGGAAUCCUUGUAACUUUCCAAAGCAUUUCAUGAGUAACUCUUCUAUUCUCUAUGAUGCUUCAUUGGCUUGCUCCAUUAAUUGUUAUAUGUUAUCCAAUUGUUUUCUACUUGGGCAACUGAAGUUUUUUUCCCCAUUACACAAGUAUUCUCUUCUAUCUUUUUAUUUAAUAUAUAGUGCAUAACUAGCAUUCUGGGUGAAAAUAUCUUAUUAGUUCUGCUCAGUGUUAGAAUGUGUUAUGUUAGCACUUUCAUGGUCAUAACUAUAGAAGAGAGGCCUCCAAUAUGUGACUUUGCAUUUGACCUUUUAGUGUUUGUUGGAUAAGUUUUAUGACAUUGUCAACCUUAAAGUAUCAUGCUUUGAUUUGAAUAUGACACUGGGCUAAAUUGAACUCAAUUAAGAACCAUAUGAUUUAUAUGAUUGAGAUUGUUGCAAAUUGCCAAAUAGUUGUGGAUGUUAUGCAAUUUCAUUUCCUUCUAUACCAGUUGCUAAUUUCCAAUAGCAUGCUGCACAAAUAAGACAACAGUAGUGCAAAGCUGAAUUGUAUCAUCAAUCCGUAUGUGUUUCAGCAGGUUAAGAUAAUUCUUAUUCGCCUACAUGUACAUUUUAUCUUUUA